AACGAACGCUGGCGGCAGGCUUAACACAUGCGAGUCGAGCGCAUCCUUCGGGGUGAGCGGCAGACGGGUGAGUAACGCGUGGGAAUCUACCUUUUGCUACGGAAUAGCUCCGGGAAACUGGAAUUAAUACCGUAUGUGCCCUUAGGGGGAAAGAUUUAUCGGCAAGAGAUGAGCCCGCGUUGGAUUAGCUAGUUGGUGGGGUAAAGGCCUACCAAGGCGACGAUCCAUAGCUGGUCUGAGAGGAUGAUCAGCCACAUUGGGACUGAGACACGGCCCAAACUCCUACGGGAGGCAGCAGUGGGGAAUAUUGGACAAUGGGCGCAAGCCUGAUCCAGCCAUGCCGCGUGAGUGAUGAAGGCCUUAGGGUUGUAAAGCUCUUUCACCGGAGAAGAUAAUGACGGUAUCCGGAGAAGAAGCCCCGGCUAACUUCGUG
Molecule: ribosomal RNA, 433 nt
Filed under: uncultured bacterium
Lineage: Bacteria
Description: partial 16S ribosomal RNA
Rfam family: Bacterial small subunit ribosomal RNA
Source: RNAcentral